This 206-nucleotide ribosomal RNA is filed under the name uncultured bacterium. Its description in RNAcentral is "partial 16S ribosomal RNA". It matches the Rfam family "Bacterial small subunit ribosomal RNA", at positions 568 to 774 of the family's 1533-position model. The record is from RNAcentral.
CACGCAGGUGGUUUGCUAAGUUUGACGUGAAAGCGCCUGGCUUAACUGGGCGAGGUCGUUGGAGACUGGCAGACUAGAGGUGAGGAGAGGGGUGUAGAAUUCCCGGUGUAGUGGUGGAAUGCGUAGAUAUCGGGAGGAAUACCAGUGGCGAAAGCGGCACCCUGGCCUUGGCCUGACGCUCAUGUGCGAAAGCGUGGUAGCAAACG